This 465-nucleotide ribosomal RNA is filed under the name Vreelandella stevensii. Its description in RNAcentral is "partial 16S ribosomal RNA". It matches the Rfam family "Bacterial small subunit ribosomal RNA", at positions 338 to 795 of the family's 1533-position model. Lineage: Bacteria; Pseudomonadati; Pseudomonadota; Gammaproteobacteria; Oceanospirillales; Halomonadaceae. The record is from RNAcentral.
CCUACGGGAGGCAACAGUGGGGAAUAUUGGACAAUGGGGGGAACCCUGAUCCAGCCAUGCCGCGUGUGUGAAGAAGGCCCUCAGGUUGUAAAGCACUUUCAGUGAGGAAGAACGCCUGGUGGUUAAUACCCAUCAGGAAAGACAUCACUCACAGAAGAAGCACCGGCUAACUCCGUGCCAGCAGCCGCGGUAAUACGGAGGGUGCGAGCGUUAAUCGGAAUUACUGGGCGUAAAGCGCGCGUAGGUGGCUUGAUAAGCCGGUUGUGAAAGCCCCGGGCUCAACCUGGGAACGGCAUCCGGAACUGUCAAGCUAGAGUGCAGGAGAGGAAGGUAGAAUUCCCGGUGUAGCGGUGAAAUGCGUAGAGAUCGGGAGGAAUACCAGUGGCGAAGGCGGCCUUCUGGACUGACACUGACACUGAGGUGCGAAAGCGUGGGUAGCAAACAGGAUUAGAUACCCCUGUAGUC